GACGAACGCUGGCGGCGUGCCUAAUACAUGCAAGUUGAGCGCUCAAGGGUGGUGCUUGUACCAACUGGAUUAGCAGCGGACGGGUGAGUAACGCGUGGGUAAUCUGCCUUUGAGCGUGGGACAACAUUUGGAAACGAAUGCUAAUACCGCAUAACAACUUUAAACACAAGUUUUAAGUUUGAAAGAUGCAAUUGCAUCACUCAAAGAUUAUCCCGCGUUGUAUUAGCUAGUUGGUUAGGUAAAGGCUCACCAAGGCGAUGAUACAUAACCGACCUUAGAGGGUGAUCGGCCACAUUGGGACUGAGAAACGGCCCAAACCUCUACGGGAGGCAGCAGUAGGGAAUCUUCGGCAAUGGACGAAAGUCUGAACGAGCAACGCCGCGUGAGUGAAGAAGGGUCUCGGAUCGUAAAAAUCUGUUGGUAGAGAAGAAAGUUGGUGAGAGUGGAAAGCUCAUGAAGUGACGGUAACUAACCAGAAAGGGACGGCUAACUACGUG
This 497-nucleotide ribosomal RNA is filed under the name uncultured bacterium. RNAcentral's name for it is "partial 16S ribosomal RNA". It matches the Rfam family "Bacterial small subunit ribosomal RNA", at positions 28 to 507 of the family's 1533-position model. The record is from RNAcentral.